UUUAAUUGAUGACUUGUAUGAAGGAUUGGAUGAAAUAUAAACUGUCUCUUGAUUAAAUAUAGAAUUUAAUUUUUUAAUUAAAAAGUUAAAAUAAUUUAAAAAGACGAGAAGACCCUAUAGAGUUUUAUAAAUAAAUUAAUUAAGAUUAUUUAUUAAAUUAAGAUUGAAAUUGGAGUAUUUAUUAUAUUGGGGUGAUAGAAAAAUAUGAUUAACUUUUUUUAUGAAUAUAACAUAUAUAAGUGGUUAAAUGAUCCAAUAUUAUUGAUUAUAAGAAAAAAUUACCUUAGGGAUAACAGCGUAAUUUUUUUUUUUAGUUCAUAUAAGAAAAAGAGUUUGCGACCUCGAUGUUGGAUUAAGAUAAAAUUUAAAUGCAGAAG
RNAcentral lists this ribosomal RNA (377 nucleotides) under Sciomesa gnosia. RNAcentral describes it as "partial 16S large subunit ribosomal RNA". The record is from RNAcentral. Lineage: Eukaryota; Metazoa; Arthropoda; Insecta; Lepidoptera; Noctuidae.